Long non-coding RNA from Falco peregrinus (peregrine falcon), 3262 nucleotides. RefSeq lists it as uncharacterized. Lineage: Eukaryota; Metazoa; Chordata; Aves; Falconiformes; Falconidae. The transcript has 5 exons. The record is from RefSeq and is a predicted model, not a curated record.
UGCAUGGGUUGCAAAGGUUUUAACUUCCAGCCUCAGUUUCCAAGCUCAGCUAGACUCAAACAAAGGGAGCAGAACAACAGCCUGAACUUUCCAUCAUGUGUUGUGUACCCCUGGAAAGCAGAGGGGUAUAAGCCUUAUUAAAGUCUUCCAGUGCAUAUCAAAUGGAAAGCAGAGCCCAGAAAAUAAACCUUCAAACCAGGAUUUCUGCAACUGAUUCAACUUCCUUUUUUUUUCUCUUUUCUCCACUAAGCUAACUUUAUUAUUGUUCCAAUCCUGAGACCUCGGCUCUUUCAAACUGACAAUCACAAUUGCUUCAUACUCCUUGAGGGUUCACCUCCUAGCUCUUCAGACCUGCAUAUGAAAGGCUGAUUUAUUUAUUUAUUUAUUUUAUGGCACUGAUUAAAUUUGAAGUCUGUAGAGUCAUUCUUGCAUUUUAAGGCAGCAGUUCUGCUAUUGCAUGUCUGCUGGCAAGGGCUGGCAUGGCAUGGGAAGGAGGUGCUCAGAGAGAGUAAAUCAUCCUCUCACAGGGUAAAGGAACUAAGAAUAUUACAGAGGUGCUGCGCUACAUUGCUGUGGUUACACAUCUGUGCCAUAUGAGACCCAUCACCAGCUUUCACUGUAGUGCUUUAAGACUGUAAAAAAUACUUCCUCUGAAGAAAUGGCAAUGCUCUGCAGCAACGGAAACGUACCUUGUGAAACCCCCUCUGAGCAGAAGUUUUGAGCAUAUUGGCGGGUCAGCAGUUUGAGGUCGGCAGUAGCUUGCAUAAAGCAAAACUCAUAAACAAGCCGUGUGUCUCCCAGCUGGAUCCCUCCAACUUGCAGAAGUUGGGACUCGUCAUUUCUUCUGUGGAAGACCACUAGGGAAAACAGAAUUGCUGCAGGAUGUAGCCUGAUGAUUCAUCCAUUGGAUGCUCUCUCCCUUCUGAGUAACAACUGAAUCACAGCAGAUGCCAGGGGUGGAAAAGACUGCUUGUUGUUGAAAGGCCCUCUAAACCUUCCUCACCAGCUCUGCAUCUCUGGGAACUAACUACAGUACACUCCUCAGCACAUUUAAAGAAAACUUUCUCCUUCACUUUCCCUGUAUUGUUUCUGCUGCUUUCUUCAAUGACUGAAUUUUUGCCAUUUGCUAAUGGAAUGAGUUUCUGAUGUGUCUCUUGAUCCCCACCUGCAACGUUAAGGAUGAGCCCAUGGUUGAUCUUUGCAGGCUUGGAGGGUGGGCUGAGUCCAUUGCCUGGCGCUUGACGUGGGUUUGAUGACAGCAGGGAGAGCGCAGUGCCCCGUUGUGAUUGCGGUUACUUUGUCCUGCUGCCUUUUCUUUAAAAGAAAUUAAAAAAUAAAAAAUUACAGCCUACUAAAGAGGAGCUUCUGCUUAGCGAAAGUGACACUGUGAAGUUUUUUUGGUGUUUUUGGUCUGUGCCUCCUGUCCUGCUGGUGCUCCUGAGAAGUCACGAGACAUUCAGCCUUGUGUGCUACCAAGACAAUUGCUCCAUACAGCUGAUCCCCAUCAGCCAGGCCAUGGAGGGAUGUGUCAGGGUUGACUGAGAUGACUCAGAAAUAAUAAUAAAUAAAUAAAAUAAAAAGAAAGGGGGGGUGGGGAAGGCGGGGAAUAAACCAGACGUUGGUUUGUGAAAACAUGACUCAGCUUCUGUUAAGUAAGCCCUCCGCUCAUGCACGUCCCGUCAACUCAUUACACAGCACGUUUCAUGGGGUAUUUCGCAUUUCUUUCCUGGCUUGUCCACUCUGAUUUCCUGUUUACAGUAGGCUAGGGAGAAAACUCGCUGGAAUAGAAUGGGAGCGGGGCCCGGGCUGCGGGGGCAGCUCGCUGUCAGAACAAGUUUUGCAGGGUUUAGCUCUAAAACUGUCUGUCCUAGCAUUGUCCUGGUCUUUAUCAAUAAACAUUAUUGUAAUUUCAUUCAGGCAGCAGUUGUAUGUUCUGGUAUGCGUACACCAGCUGUCUUCCUGCUCUUACAUUCAAAUCAUUUCCCAAGCCUGAAUGCUUCAUAAAUCAGAAAUAGGCGUGUGUCACUUACAAAGCCUUUCAUUUUAAUGCGUUUUUUUUAAAUGUAUUUCCUUAUUUCUAAAUCUAUCUUAACAAAAUUAUUCCCUUAAUAACUGUGGCUUUUAAAAGCUUUUCAAGCAUACAGAUUUGAACGCAUACGGAGAAAACGGAAGUGAGAAAAUUCGUGCAUUUCAUGUGCAGGUUUGCUUUCAGAUUUACGGCACAAAACUUAACAAAUACAGGCUGCACCUUUGGAGAACAGAUAAUAAAAUAAAGGCACAUGGGGAUCUGAGUUUACCUCCAAAAUAAACUUCCUUUUCUUUUAUGCAUACCAAAGAACCUGAAGCGGUUAAUAUCUCUAAGAAACUCUGGGACGCGGGGCUGGUCCAUCUGUUCCAUUGUCAGUGACUGUCCCAAUGACACACACACGUAUGAGAACAGGAACCUCGGGAACUUUGUAUACAGCCACGUGACCUGAGCGCUAAACCCUACGUUCUACCAAACCAGCUUCAAUGGACAUUUAAAAAAAACGUAGCGCUAUAUAAAAUAAAGUGUGCAACAACUGUUUUUUGUAAAGAAAUAUGGUUUAGUUUUAAGCCUCCAGAAGGUUGUUUAUCAUAUUCAUUAACGGGGGAAGAAACAAAAAGCAUUUUAAAUAUGGGAAGUAAAUUGCUGCUAUCUUUUUUUGUUUGCUUGCUUGAAAAGUAUCUUAUUUUUUAAUCUUAAAAUGAAAUCUGUCUUUUUUUUUUUUUUCCCUGUCAAGUUAUUUGAUGUAGUCUUUUAGACUAGAAUAGCUGGAAUGUGUUGCUGAUUAUAGUAAUUGCCUAGUCUUCCUUUACUUAAAAAGAAGCACAUGGACUUGAAAAACCAUAAUGAAGGAAAUCAUUUGGGUAGCUCUCUCUGGCAAAGAAUCCCUUCCCUUCUCUUUAAGGAAAGUGCUGCUUGUAUGUUUUAUGAUUCACUCACAUGAAAACUCAUUCAAAUCUGAAAUUAUCGGAGGCUUCACUUAACACUUUAUGGUUAUACUGUAAGAUGUGGGAGAUGGAAAGUAUGUAGAAUAUAUUGCUAUUUAAAGUUUCUAAGCCUGCUCAGCUUUGAAAGUCUCAAGACUACUGAGAUCAUAGUGGAAAAAGUAUAUGAAGGUGGGAAAGCAGUCUUCAAAAUACUUAAUAUGUUUCUAUAAAGACUAAAAGGAGAUCACUAAGAUGGUUUUCAAAUACCGAGCCUCCUACAUAAGGCUUUUAUGGCAUAGGAAUUACUCUG